Camellia sinensis is the source of this 771-nucleotide non-coding RNA. The record is from RefSeq and is a predicted model, not a curated record. Lineage: Eukaryota; Viridiplantae; Streptophyta; Magnoliopsida; Ericales; Theaceae.
UUUCCAUUAUAUCAUUUUUUAGCCAGUUUCUUAUUUGAGUUUUUUAUUUGGACUUACUGCUUUUUCCUUACAAUAUCUCAACUCUACGCCCAUAUACCAUGGCUGAUAAGUACUUAAACAUCCUUGAGUUGACCUUAUUCUUGGCUGAUUUUGUGGAAUUACCUUCAUAACAUCUCAACUGCCAAUUGUUACAAAUGCACACAUAUCUCUCUACAACAGUAGGAACUGAACCCAGGUACACCUGUUGUGCUCUCAUAUUAUUCUUGUUUCAGGCCUCCUUAACUACAAUGCUGGGAUGGCACUGCACAUCUGAAGUUUGAAGAUACAGAGGAUGGAAGGAAUCCCAGAAUACAUAUUUAUUGGCAUCUGUACAAGUGAAAGGGUUGAAUUUGUCACAUAUGUAACCCAUCUCAAGCAAGCCAGUUGCACAACAUACUAUUGUUGCUUUGUCAAAUCCUGUCACAAGGAAUACUAACAUAUUAAUUUCAGCACAGCAAAGCCGGAUGUUGUUGAGUUUGUCCUGGCUUUGCAGGAAGCUCGAUGCUUUUCUGUUGUUCUGGAAUGUUGUGCUUGCACCUGUUAUUGCUUCUGCAACAUCUACUCUUUGAAUCCCUACAAUUGGUAUUGGGACAGGACCUUUCUGUAUUGGCCAAGUUAAUUCCUUGCCCAUAAACCCAUCUCAAGCAAACCUUCAAUGUAGCAACAUUUAAAUUAUAUGAAGUCUCAUACUCUAAAUAGAAAAGAUUCGAUGGAAGAAUUAGUUGUAGAUUA